Urocitellus parryii (Arctic ground squirrel) is the source of this 106-nucleotide small nuclear RNA. NCBI's taxonomy places the organism in Eukaryota, Metazoa, Chordata, Mammalia, Rodentia, Sciuridae. The record is from Ensembl.
ACUGUUUGUUUUGGUAGUGCAUAUAUUAAUAGUAGAAUGACAAAUGAGAUUAGCAUGGCCCCUAUAAAAGGAUGACACACAAAUUGGUGAAACAUUCCAUUAAAAU